This 961-nucleotide long non-coding RNA is filed under the name Ananas comosus (pineapple). Its description in RNAcentral is "long non-coding RNA (ACOM_LNC043625)". The record is from RNAcentral. Lineage: Eukaryota; Viridiplantae; Streptophyta; Magnoliopsida; Poales; Bromeliaceae.
UGAAUGCUAAAGAUAGCCAAAGUAAAGAAAGGUAAAGAACAAUGAUUGCUAGAGUGGCAACAUAAAGUGAUGUAAAGAACACUAGAGUUAGUGUAAAGUCAAGAUUGAACAUACAAUCCUUUGAAUUAAGGAUUCGAUCAUACUUGCUAUGAGUUCCGUGCUUGAGGGCGGUCGCACCCCGUCGAGCGAUGCGCUCCGGAGUUUUUGCAUCACGGGUUGGAGUAAACCCGAGGACGGUCCUAGCGGGUGAGUUCCUGCGAUGAUGGACUUAAUGUGAAGCAAGUUUAAUGAGGCGAAACCCCUGGGUUAGCCGUGAGAUUAAAGAACAAAGAACAAAGAAUAAAGAACAAAGCACUUGCAUAAUCUGCAUAAUUAUGUUGAGCAUAUUCCUUGCUUUAUUGUUCAGGCAUAUUAGCAUCAUGUUGUGGGUUGGUUACUAUAUUUCAGUUUAUCCUUUCUUUUAUGCCUGAGUUAGUCCUAUUGGGAAAGUCGGUGAUGUUCGGGCUGAACCCACUGGAAACUUCGUUGUAGUUCUCACCCCACUAUUUUCACAGAGCCGGGACCGAGCGAGCCGGCGAGGGACCGAGGUAAAGGUAUCGCGCCUUAGACAAAGGCCACCAGAGUUGAGUUGGGUUUACAUUUUGUUAGUAGAGUACCCUAUGUUCAUCUUUUGUAUUUGGUGACUAGUGAUGUAAAGAAAAGAAUGUAAAGCUUAUUUCGAGGUAAAUGUGAUGUAAAAAGAAAUGAUGCAAGCGAUGUAAUGUAAUGAAAUGUAAGGAAUCAUGAAUGUAAAGGGAUACAUGUAUGUGAUCAAAAUGAAUCAUAGUACUUGCGUAGUUGCUUAGUUUUCCUAUCUCUUCACUCAUGGCUAUUGCUUCCGUGUUUGUAUAUUUCCGCUAGUGCACUUCUUAUUUGAAAAUGUACAUGUGAUGAGCCUUGGGCGGAUAGGAAAAACUCUGUC